RNAcentral lists this ribosomal RNA (253 nucleotides) under uncultured bacterium. RNAcentral describes it as "partial 16S ribosomal RNA". It matches the Rfam family "Bacterial small subunit ribosomal RNA", at positions 524 to 776 of the family's 1533-position model. The record is from RNAcentral.
UACGUAGGGUGCGAGCGUUAAUCGGAAUUACUGGGCGUAAAGCGUGCGUAGGUGGUUCGUUGUGUCUGUGGUGAAAGCCCCGGGCUUAACCUGGGAAUGGCCAUGGAAACUGGCGAGCUGGAGUCUGGCAGAGGGGGGUGGAAUUCCGCGUGUAGCAGCGAAAUGCGUAGAGAUGCGGAGGAACACCGAUGGCGAAGGCAGCCCCCUGGGCUAAGACUGACGCUGAGGCACGAAAGCGUGGGGAGCAAACAGG